This 411-nucleotide ribosomal RNA is filed under the name uncultured bacterium. Its description in RNAcentral is "bacterial SSU rRNA". It matches the Rfam family "Bacterial small subunit ribosomal RNA", at positions 30 to 440 of the family's 1533-position model. The record is from RNAcentral.
AUUGAACGCUGGCGGCGUGCCUAACACAUGCAAGUCGAGCGGUAACAGGUGUAGCAAUACAUGCUGACGAGCGGCGAACGGGUGAGUAAUGCUUCGGAAUCUACCCAAUGGUGGGGAAUAACCAGCCGAAAGGUUGGCUAAUACCGCAUACGUCCUACGGGAGAAAGCAGGGGAUCGUAAGACCUUGCGCCAAUGGAUGAGCCGAAGUCGGAUUAGCUAGUUGGAGGGUAACGGCCUACCAAGGCGACGAUCCAUAGCUGGUCUGAGAGGACGACCAGCCACACUGGGACUGAGACACGGCCCAGACUCCUACGGGAGGCAGCAGUGGGGAAUAUUGGACAAUGGGGGAAACCCUGAUCCAGCGACGCCGCGUGUGUGAAGAAGGCCUGCGGGUUGUAAAGCACUUUUAGU